CCUACGGGGGGCUGCAGUGGGGAAUAUUGCACAAUGGGGGAAACCCUGAUGCAGCGACGCCGCGUGAGUGAAGAAGUAAUUCGUUAUGUAAAGCUCUAUCAGCAGGGAAGAAAAUGACGGUACCUGAGUAAGAAGCCCCGGCCAACGACGUGCCAGCAGCCGCGGUAAUACGUAGGGGGCAAGCGUUAGCCGGAUUUACUGGGGGGAAAGGGAGCGUAGGCGGCAGUGCAAGUCUGGAGUGAAAGGCCGGGGCUCAACCCCCGGACUGCCCUUGAAACUGUACGGCUGGAGUGCAGGAGAGGUAAGUGGAAUUCCUGGUGUAGCGGUGAAAUGCGUAGAUAUUAGGAGGAACACCAGUGGCGAAGGCGGCUUACUGGACUGUGACUGACGUUGAGGCUCGAAAGCGUGGGGAGCAAACAGGAUUAGAUACCCGUGUAGUC
Molecule: ribosomal RNA, 440 nt
Filed under: uncultured bacterium
Lineage: Bacteria
Description: partial 16S ribosomal RNA
Rfam family: Bacterial small subunit ribosomal RNA
Source: RNAcentral